CUACGGGAGGCAGCAGUGGGGAAUUUUGCACAAUGGGGGAAACCCUGAUGCAGCAACGCCGCGUGGAGGAUGAAGUCCCUUGGGAUGUAAACUCCUUUCGACCGGGACGAUUAUGACGGUACCGGUGGAAGAAGCCCCGGCUAACUCUGUGCCAGCAGCCGCGGUAAUACAGAGGGGGCAAGCGUUGUUCGGAAUUAUUGGGCGUAAAGGGUGCGUAGGCGGUGCGGUAAGUCUUCUGUGAAGUCUCCGGGCUCAACUCGGAGCCUGCAGGAGAAACUGCCGUGCUUGAGUAUGGGAGAGGUGAGUGGAAUUCCUCGUGUAGCGGUGAAAUGCGUAGAUAUCAGGAGGAACACCUGUGGCGAAAGCGGCUCACUGGACCAUAACUGACGCUGAGGCACGAAAGCUAGGGGAGCAAACAGGAUUAGAUACCCUAGUAGUCC
Molecule: ribosomal RNA, 440 nt
Filed under: uncultured bacterium
Lineage: Bacteria
Description: bacterial SSU rRNA
Rfam family: Bacterial small subunit ribosomal RNA
Source: RNAcentral